AUGCUGUCUUGGGGAUAUCUUGUUCACGAAUGCGAAUCUGAUGAUAACCCAUACGGAGGUCAAGCUUGGAGAAAACUUGGCUCCUUUGAGUUGCUCGAAAAGCUCAUUGAUGUUGGCAAGUGGGUACUUGUUCUUUAUUGUUUUCUUGUUCAAUGGAUGGUAGUCGACACAAAGUCGGUCCGUGCCAUCCUUCUUCUGGACAAAAGAACACCACAACCCCAUGGAGAUGAACUCGGUCUGAUCACACCCAGACGCUCUUGUUCAUCGAGCUGUUUCUUCAAUUCCUUCAAUUCCUUUGGUCCAAGCUUGUAA
This 312-nucleotide ribosomal RNA is filed under the name Triticum aestivum (bread wheat). RNAcentral's name for it is "partial small subunit ribosomal RNA". Lineage: Eukaryota; Viridiplantae; Streptophyta; Magnoliopsida; Poales; Poaceae. The record is from RNAcentral.